Molecule: ribosomal RNA, 320 nt
Filed under: uncultured eukaryote
Lineage: Eukaryota
Description: partial 18S ribosomal RNA
Rfam family: Eukaryotic small subunit ribosomal RNA
Source: RNAcentral
CCCUUAGAUGUUCUGGGCUGCACGCGCGCUACACUGAAGCGUUCAACGAGUAUUAACCUUGGCCGAUAGGUCUGGGUAAUCUUUGAACGCUGUUCGUGAUUGGGAUAGACCUUUGCAAUUAUGGGUCUUCAACGAGGAAUUCCUAGUAAACGCAAGUCAUCAGCUUGCAUUGAUUACGUCCCUGCCCUUUGUACACACCGCCCGUCGCACCUACCGAUUGAAUGGUCCGGUGAAAUCUCGGGACGGCGGCUUGGUCGCUUGCGUCCGACUGCUGAAACUUGAUUAAACCAUAUCAUUUAGAGGAAGGUGAAGUCGUAACA